Molecule: small RNA, 28 nt
Filed under: Bombyx mori (domestic silkworm)
Lineage: Eukaryota; Metazoa; Arthropoda; Insecta; Lepidoptera; Bombycidae
Description: ovarian small RNA-19860
Source: RNAcentral
UAAUGUUUCAGCAUGUCGUAUACGUACC